GAUGAACGCUGGCGGCGUGCCUAACACAUGCAAGUCGAGCGAACAGACGAUGAGCUUGUUCUUUUCACGUUAGCGGCUGACGGGCGAGUAACACGUGGAUCACCUUCUUAUAUUUCUGGGAUAAUCUCGGGAAAACGGAUCCAAUACCGGCUAAUAUACUGAACCGCAUGGUUCAAUAGUGCUUGACGGCUUUGCUGUCUCUAUUAGCUGCUUCCGCGCCGCAUUAGCUAGUUGGUAAGGUAACGGCCUACCAAGGCUACGAUGCGUAGCCGACCUGAGAGGAUGAUCGGCCACACUGGAACUGAGACACGGUCCAGACUCCUACGGGAGGCAGCAGUAGGGAAUAUUCCGCAAUGGGCGAAAGCCUGACGGAGCAACGCCGCGUGAGUGAUGAAGGUCUUCGGAUCGUAAAGCUCUGUUAUUGGGGAAGAACAGAUGUAGAAGUAACUAUGGACGUCUUGACGGUACCUAAUCAAAAAGCAACGGCUAACUACGUG
Molecule: ribosomal RNA, 497 nt
Filed under: uncultured bacterium
Lineage: Bacteria
Description: partial 16S ribosomal RNA
Rfam family: Bacterial small subunit ribosomal RNA
Source: RNAcentral